RNAcentral lists this ribosomal RNA (311 nucleotides) under Boophis andohahela. RNAcentral describes it as "partial 16S ribosomal RNA". It matches the Rfam family "Bacterial large subunit ribosomal RNA", at positions 2048 to 2521 of the family's 2925-position model. The record is from RNAcentral. Lineage: Eukaryota; Metazoa; Chordata; Amphibia; Anura; Mantellidae.
GAUCUCUCCGUGAAGAAGCGGGGAUACAAAUAUAAGACGAGAAGACCCCAUGGAGCUUUAAACCCAACGACACCCAUUUUCUUUAUACCCUAGUAUUCAUUUGGCUAUGUUUGAUUGGUUUUAGGUUGGGGUGACCACGGAGCAUAAAAUAACCUCCACGAAGAAGAGACUAAUAAUCUUUAUCAAAGAAGUACACUUCUAAGAAUUAACAAAUUAAUUUCCAAUGAUCCGAUAUUCGAUCAACGAACCAAGUUACCCUGGGGAUAACAGCGCAAUCCACCUCAAGAGCUCCUAUCGACAGGUGGGUUUAC